Molecule: ribosomal RNA, 317 nt
Filed under: uncultured bacterium
Lineage: Bacteria
Description: bacterial SSU rRNA
Rfam family: Bacterial small subunit ribosomal RNA
Source: RNAcentral
GAUGAACGCUGGCGGCGUGCCUAAUACAUGCAAGUCGAGCGAACUGACGAGGAGCUUGCUCCUUUGACGUUAGCGGCGGACGGGUGAGUAACACGUGGGUAACCUACCUAUAAGACUGGAAUAACUCCGGGAAACCGGGGCUAAUGCCGGAUAAUAUGUUGAACCGCAUGGUUCUACAGUGAAAGACGGUCUUGCUGUCACUUAUAGAUGGACCCGCGCCGCAUUAGCUAGUUGGUAAGGUAACGGCUUACCAAGGCAACGAUGCGUAGCCGACCUGAGAGGGUGAUCGGCCACACUGGAACUGAGACACGGUCCAG